UACGUAGGUGGCGAGCGUUGUCCGGAUUUACUGGGCGUAAAGGGCGUGCAGGCGGUUCGUUAAGUCUAGGGUGAAAGCUCCCGGCUCAACUGGGAGAGGUCCUUGGAUACUGGCGGACUUGAGGGGGGUAGAGGAGAGUGGAAUUCUCGGUGUAGUGGUGAUAUGCGUAGAUAUCGAGAGGAACACCAGUGGCGAAGGCGGCUCUCUGGGCCCUACCUGACGCUGAGACGCGAAAGCGUGGGGAGCGAACCGG
Molecule: ribosomal RNA, 253 nt
Filed under: uncultured bacterium
Lineage: Bacteria
Also listed under: 1 other name
Description: partial 16S ribosomal RNA
Rfam family: Bacterial small subunit ribosomal RNA
Source: RNAcentral